RNAcentral lists this ribosomal RNA (481 nucleotides) under uncultured bacterium. RNAcentral describes it as "partial 16S ribosomal RNA". It matches the Rfam family "Archaeal small subunit ribosomal RNA", at positions 383 to 867 of the family's 1478-position model. The record is from RNAcentral.
GAGUGCCGCCCGUUGAGGGCGNUUUUCCACGGUGUAAGGAGCCGUGGGAAUAAGGAGAGGGCAGGACUGGUGUCAGCCGCCGCGGUAAUACCAGCUCUCCGAGUGGUGGGGACGAUUAUUGGGCUUAAAGCGUUCGUAGCCGGCUUAACAAGUCUUCCGUUAAAUCCAACGAUCUAAUCGUUGGGCUGCGGGAGAUACUGUUGGGCUAGGAGGCGGGAGAAGCCGACGGUAUUCUCGGGGUAGGGGUGAAACCCUGUAAUCCCGGGAGNACNNCCAGUGGCGAAGGCGGUCGGCUAGAACGCGCUCGACGGUGAGGGACGAAAGCUGGGGGAGCGAACCGNAUUAGAAACCCGGGUAGUCCCAGCUGUAAACGAUGCGGGCUAGGUGUUGGGGUGGCCACGAGCCANUUCAGUGCCGNANGNAAGCAAUUAAGCCCGCCGCCNGGGGAGUACGGNCGCNNGNNUGAAACUUAAAGNAAUUG